RNAcentral lists this ribosomal RNA (253 nucleotides) under uncultured bacterium. Its description in RNAcentral is "partial 16S ribosomal RNA". It matches the Rfam family "Bacterial small subunit ribosomal RNA", at positions 524 to 776 of the family's 1533-position model. The record is from RNAcentral.
UACAGAGGUCUCAAGCGUUGUUCGGAUUCAUUGGGCGUAAAGGGUGUGUAGGUGGCGCCGUAAGUCGGGUGUGAAAUUUCGGAGCUUAACUCCGAAACUGCAUUCGAUACUGCGGUGCUUGAGGACUGGAGAGGAGACUGGAAUUCAUGGUGUAGCAGUGAAAUGCGUAGAGAUCAUGAGGAAGACCAGUGGCGAAGGCGGGUCUCUGGGCAGUUCCUGACGCUGAGGCACGAAGGCCAGGGGAGCAAACGGG